Molecule: ribosomal RNA, 450 nt
Filed under: uncultured bacterium
Lineage: Bacteria
Description: partial 16S ribosomal RNA
Rfam family: Bacterial small subunit ribosomal RNA
Source: RNAcentral
GUGGGGAAUAUUGGACAAUGGGCGAAAGCCUGAUCCAGCCAUGCCGCGUGUGUGAAGAAGGUCUUCGGAUUGUAAAGCACUUUAAGUUGGGAGGAAGGGCAGUAAGUUAAUACCUUGCUGUUUUGACGUUACCGACAGAAUAAGCACCGGCUAACUUCGUGCCAGCAGCCGCGGUAAUACGAAGGGUGCAAGCGUUAAUCGGAAUUACUGGGCGUAAAGCGCGCGUAGGUGGUUUUGUAAGUGGGUGGUGAAAUCCCCGGGCUCAACCUGGGAACUGCCUCCAAAACUGCAUGACUAGAGUACGGUAGAGGGUAGUGGAAUUUCCUGUGUAGCGGUGAAAUGCGUAGAUAUAGGAAGGAACACCAGUGGCGAAGGCGACUACCUGGACUGAUACUGACACUGAGGUGCGAAAGCGUGGGGAGCAAACAGGAUUAGAAACCCUAGUAGUCC